RNAcentral lists this ribosomal RNA (322 nucleotides) under Scylla tranquebarica (purple mud crab). RNAcentral's name for it is "partial 12S ribosomal RNA". The record is from RNAcentral. Lineage: Eukaryota; Metazoa; Arthropoda; Malacostraca; Decapoda; Portunidae.
UUGGCGGUGGUUUAGUCUUGUCAGAGGAACCUGGUUUUUAAAUCGAUACACCACGAAGAAUCUUACUUAAACUUGUAAAGUAGUAUGUAUACCAUCAUUAUUAGGUAAUUUUUAUAGAAUAAAUUACUGAAAGAUAGUUAUUAAUAGUGUUAAAUAUAUUAGAUCAAGGUGCAGCUAAUGUUUAAGUUAAAAUGGGUUACAAUAAAAAUUUAUUUAAUACGGAAUAUUAAUUUAAAUAGUUAAUUAGAAGGAGGAUUUGAUUGUAAAUUAAAUUUAAUAUGUUUAAUUAGAUAUAAGCUCUAAAGCAUGUACACAUCGCCCG